Molecule: long non-coding RNA, 1044 nt
Filed under: Androctonus crassicauda
Lineage: Eukaryota; Metazoa; Arthropoda; Arachnida; Scorpiones; Buthidae
Source: RNAcentral
AAAAAAAAAAAAACAGAUAUAUUUAAUAAAUAUAUAAUCUUAUUUCAAAAUCUUAAAUUUAAUAUUAAAUUUAUUAAAUGUUGUUAUUAAAACAUAUUUUGACUUAUUUGAUGCUAACCAAAAAUCUUUAGUUAUAAAUUGAUUUUUUUAAAUGAUUACAUAUUGAGGUUUGAUUAUAUUUAAAUUAUAUAUAUGUAAUUUUAAAUUUAGGAAAGUUUCAUUAAACUUCAACAACACAAGAAUCUUAAAAUAGUGAAAGGCAUUUCAUCCAUAAGAUAUUGAAAGAUGUCAAUGGUAUCACUUAAAUUUAUUAAUUAAUGCUAUUAAAAUUAAUUAAUUGAUAGUUUAUCAUCAUAGUGUCCAUGUGAAUAAAGAAUCAUUAUAAUCAAAUUAUGCAAUUCUAAAUCUUUUUGAAAGUGUUUAAAUAUAUGAUCUAUUAGAAUUUUAAAAUAUUUUCUAAUUAAAUUUUAUCAGUUUGAUUACUUAGUUUGUUUAUAUUAAUCUUGCUAUAUUUAUUAGUUUGUACUUUGCAUUUAUUUUGUUGAAAUUACAUUUAGAAAAUUCAUCAGAAUAGUUAAUAAAUUUUGCUUCUGUAUCAGAUCAGAUAAAUAAUUAGUUUAAUUUAGUGAAAAGUUAACCAUUGCAUAUUUUUAGAAGUUUUGUAAAUAGAGGCAUACCUUGCAAUUAUGCCUCUAUUUACAAUCAGUUACAUUCCAGACCAAUGCUGUAAAGUAAAUCAUAAAAUCCUUUUUCAUUUGCUGUUCUAUAUAAAAGCCAAAAAACAUAUUUACAUUAUCAUUAAGUGUGCAAUAACAUUAGACUUAAAAAUCUCAGUUGGAUGGCUGCUUGGCAAAGCAUUCACUUACCACCUUGGAGAUCAGGUUCAAUUCCAGAUCUCAUACAUCCAGUUUUUCAGGGGGUCUGAUCAUUUGUGUUAAUUUAUGUUUUAUGUACCUAUUUUAAGUAUCAUUUUGUGACAAAUUGCAGAUAAUUUUCCUUUUGAGAUAUAAAGUAAAAACAUGAAAAAUAAUUGAAAGGUGCUAU